Molecule: long non-coding RNA, 666 nt
Organism: Vigna unguiculata (cowpea)
Lineage: Eukaryota; Viridiplantae; Streptophyta; Magnoliopsida; Fabales; Fabaceae
Source: RefSeq, a predicted model, not a curated record
AAUGGUUAGAAAUAUUUUUACUUUUUGUCAAUUUUUCUUAACCAUCACACUCUUUCCCUAAAUUUUCUGAGAUGUUAAGCGUUUAUGUUCGGUUUUAAGAUGCAUCAAUCGCAACCACAACUCAUUUACCUUCAAUGGAAUGGGAGAACGAUCCCGAUUUCAACAGCGAUGAUGUCGAUGCCGUUUCCCUUUUUCCCAACGACGAUAAUGACGACUUCGUUGGAUCCCUCCCCUUCUCGAUCCUCCAUAUUCUGCCAUUCGACUUCGUCUUCCCUGACUUCGUUGCCACUAACGCAUCUGCGCCUGGCCACUCAAUCAUUUAUCAUAUUGUUUUUCAGCUGGUCGUCAUUUUCAGUGCAGAAGAAGUUCGCGGUCGCAACUGACUUGAAGGAAUAUAUGGAAAUACUUAGUGAGUGACUCUGGGAUUACAUUCAAUGAACAAAAAGAAAUGAAAGCAUUGCAAAUUGCUGGAAAAGGCUAGGGAUGCUACUCUUAGUUGGAAAUUUGAUCAGGUACGUGUCAACCUUCCAAAUAGUGACAUGGUAGGGAUAUACAGGUGGCAGAUACACAAAUGAUAUGAGUAUUGAACAUGAAAUGUAUCGAUACAAAGAUUCGUCUCAUCUUAAAACCUAUAUCUGAUUUUGUAUUAAAAUUAUAUGUUUUAUU